GCCCGGAGCAGCAGGCACACGCGCCACUCCUGCCGCCUCGCGCCGGCCCCUAGUCCCCGGCCGCGGGCGGGGCCGGGUCUGCGGUGCUGAGCCCCAGCACGUACUGGGGCGUGGCCUGAAGCGCGGCGGGCGGGGUUUGGAGAAGUUUCUCCGGGUGGCUCACAUUUCACAUCGUCAUCAUGCAGGCACCAGGGCGCCAGGGACAGAAGUGGUGCCGGUCCCUUCCGCAUCCUUGCUGUUCUCCCCGCUGAGGGUCUGAUCACUGCCGCUCUCAGGCACCUGUCUUUCCUCUCCGUGCCGGAAUGGAGCCAAGACAAAGGAAUAAAAGAAAUUAAAUAGUACAAGGAGAUCGGGUGUCUGAGCAGCGUCUUGGAUAAUGCCGUCCACUACAGAACCCCUAAAGGAAAAAGACCUCAUCCUAAUAAUCUCUGGAUAGCACCUGCUACACAGGAAAAAAAUCAUAUGGAAUGAAGGUAUACACACAGAAAUCACACCUUGAAGAUUUUUCCUGUUUAGUUCUAAGCCGUGACCAUGAUGAAGUUUCUGGAAACGAUGACAAAAGAGAAGCUCUUCUGAAGCAAAUGUCUUGAUUUUCCACCUACACCAAUCCAUCCUAUCCAAUGUUACCAACUAAAAUUUCCACUAAC
Orcinus orca (killer whale) is the source of this 647-nucleotide long non-coding RNA. RefSeq lists it as uncharacterized. The record is from RefSeq and is a predicted model, not a curated record. The transcript has 3 exons. NCBI's taxonomy places the organism in Eukaryota, Metazoa, Chordata, Mammalia, Artiodactyla, Delphinidae.